GGUUUUUCAAUAUAACAGCCCAAAUGGACAGAGACAUCCAUCUGUCUCCCAAGUAAACUUCCUUAAACCCAGGCCACCUACUCCAGCAAGUGGACAGAGGGAUAGGAUGAUGAAUGAAUCACACUGUCCACUCUGUCCUCUGUGCUACAAAGCGACUGCUGUGGGUGACUCAUCUCUAUAGCCACACCUGAUUGGACCAUUACCAGACAUCUGGCCAAUGACGGCCAGGCCAGGCACUUCCUCUGUGGCCUGGUGGUAAGAAAAGCCUGAGUUGGACCAAUCAGACCUUCUCUUCAGGGACUCUCACCAAGCAAGCUCAAGGGGAACAAGGACUUUCCAGGCCCACAUUGGCAGUGACAAUCAGAAUGUCAAAAUGUCUCCCAGGAUCCCUAGGAAGUCUGAGGCACUUCACGAUGAGCCUGCUCUGGGUGAGAGACCAACUGGAGUGAACUGUUAAUACACUUCACAGGAAGGGGG
RNAcentral lists this long non-coding RNA (477 nucleotides) under Fukomys damarensis (Damara mole-rat). Its description in RNAcentral is "lncRNA (ENSFDAG00000026381.1)". The record is from RNAcentral. Lineage: Eukaryota; Metazoa; Chordata; Mammalia; Rodentia; Bathyergidae.